CGCGGGGUGGAGCAGUUGGCAGCUCGUCGGGCUCAUAACCCGAAGGUCGUAGGUUCGAGUCCUACCCCCGCAA
Molecule: transfer RNA, 73 nt
Organism: Peptoclostridium acidaminophilum DSM 3953
Lineage: Bacteria; Bacillati; Bacillota; Clostridia; Peptostreptococcales; Peptoclostridiaceae
Rfam family: tRNA
About the family: Transfer RNA (tRNA) molecules are approximately 80 nucleotides in length. Their secondary structure includes four short double-helical elements and three loops (D, anti-codon, and T loops).
Source: Rfam